This 335-nucleotide ribosomal RNA is filed under the name uncultured bacterium. Its description in RNAcentral is "bacterial SSU rRNA". It matches the Rfam family "Bacterial small subunit ribosomal RNA", at positions 29 to 362 of the family's 1533-position model. The record is from RNAcentral.
AGUGAACGCUGGCGGCAGGCCUAAUACAUGCAAGUCGAACGGCAGCACAGCAGAGCUUGCUCUGUGGGUGGCGAGUGGCGGACGGGUGAGGAAUACGUGGGAAUCUGCCCAGUCGUGGGGGAUAACGUAGGGAAACUUACGCUAAUACCGCAUGCGCCUUCGGGAAAGCCGGGACCUUCGGCCUGGCGCGAUUGGAUGAGCCCACGUCGGAUUAGCUAGUUGGCGGGGUAAAGGGCCCACCAAGGCGACGAUCCGUAGCUGGUCUGAGAGGAUGAUCAGCCACACUGGAACUGAGACACGGUCCAGAACUCCUACGGGAGGCAGCAGUAGGGAAU